AUUACUGCAGGGUUGAGAAAGUACAGCCAGUUUUUCCUGACUUCUAAGCCCAUGCCAUUCUCAAAGCUCAAGGGCACGUGUGUGGCCGAGGUGACAACAGAUGGAGACGGACUCAGAGAGGGAGCCAUCUUCAAGUCUACGCCGAAGCCAUUACCUCAGCUGCCACAGAGAUGACAAUGACAUUUUCAGUCACCGCGUAACUCAGCUAUAAACUGGAGCUGUUUGACAUGAAAGGCAUCCAUUUCGUUUUAUUUUGCUGUGGUGCAUGAGUUCACUACAUGUGUUUUCUUUGAGAAUUAAGAAGACAGUUUGGUCUAUAGCUAAACAAUUACUCAGAGGCCACACUCAAGUGUAAAACAUGCCACUGUCAGGCCCUGCAUGCAUGAGGCCCAUCUAGAGAGACUCACUGGGUAGCCAUGUUGUUAUACAGUAUGAUAUGUUUAUGUGGAAUAAGUUGCAGUGACUUUAUUCCAGAGGCCCUCUUGAGGCCCUUUGCUCCACUAGAAGUUAAAUGUAAUAAGUCAAGUCUUUAUUCCGAGUCUAGGGGCCUUCUUUUUACACUGUAAAACAAGCUGGGAUCAAUAAUUAGUAUAGUAAGCAUAACUAGGCAACAAAUCCAAUCAAAUUUGAUUUGUCACAUACGCCGAAUACAACAGGUUACAGUGAAAUGCUUACUUACAAGCCCUUUAGCCCAAUAGUUAGUAUAGUUAGUAUACUGAGGCCCACAGUAACCUAUUAAAACCAGAUGGCGAUAUACAAGGCACAGCUUACCUUGUGACACACUGUCUAAGAAACGGUUAGUUUAGAUAAUACCUCAUUUAGCCUAUGUUGCUGUGAAUAAAUAAAUACAGACGCACAUAUAAAUGCUGAAGUGACUGUUGUGAAGAGUGGCUAGAAAUAGCAUGCAGUGGCUCCAAACACUGUUCCCCUGGGAAUGUAUUUCUUCUUCACUGAAUUUAUUUGCUUUAUGGUCAAAUCGGCCACCUCCGUAUCUGGCGAAGUCAAUGUUACACCAGGGAGUGGUUGGCUAUGAGUGGAUUAAGACUUUUCCAUUGACCAGCGGUUUACAGAGGUUAUAAUCUUGGGUCCCAUUGAGUGAUUUCCCGUUAAGCCCAGGAAAGCUGUCAAAUGUUACUUACUGGAAUCCAGUGGAAUUUGUAGCUAGCGCUGAGUCGUUGGCAGUGAUGAACAUGGACACAAAGCUCACAGGAAGUGGCAAAUAGGACUGUCUGUGGACAGUGAGGUUCUCUUUUAUAUAGUAGAGAACAGAACAGAACAAUAAACUGGUAUUUACUGAAACAUGGCUGUAAUGGCUCCCGAACGUACACAAAUCUGGCGCCGAGUGUUGUUGGACAGAUGAAUCAUUUCAGAACCAAGUGAUUUAAUCAUUUGAGGGAUAUAUUGAAGCUAGCGGGUGGUUGGUC
Molecule: long non-coding RNA, 1424 nt
Filed under: Salmo salar (Atlantic salmon)
Lineage: Eukaryota; Metazoa; Chordata; Actinopteri; Salmoniformes; Salmonidae
Description: lncRNA (ENSSSAG00000109840.1)
Source: RNAcentral